AAAAAAGGUAAGCUACUAAGAGCGAAUGGUGGAUGCCUUGACUGGUAAAGGCGAUGAAGGACGUACUAGACUGCGAUAAGCUACGGGGAGCUGUCAAGAAGCUUUGAUCCGUAGAUUUCCGAAUGGGGCAACCCAAUGUAUAGAGAUAUACAUUACCUAUAUAGGAGCGAACGAGGGGAAUUGAAACAUCUUAGUACCCUCAGGAAAAGAAAUCAAUAGAGAUUGCGUCAGUAGCGGCGAGCGAAAGCGUAAGAGGGCAAACCCAGUGCUUGCACUGGGGGUUGUAGGACUGCAAUGUGCAAGAGGUGAGUUUAGCAGAACAUUCUGGAAAGUAUAGCCAUAGAGGGUGAUAGUCCCGUAUGCGAAAAACAAACCUUAGCUAGCAGUAUCCUGAGUAGGGCGGGACACGAGAAAUCCUGUCUGAAGCUGGGUCGACCACGAUCCAACCCUAAAUACUAAUACCAGAUCGAUAGUGCACAAGUACCGUGAGGGAAAGGUGAAAAGAACUGAGGUGAUCAGAGUGAAAUAGAACCUGAAACCAUUUGCUUACAAUCAUUCAGAGCACUAUGUAGCAAUACAGUGUGAUGGACUGCCUUUUGCAUAAUGAGCCUGCGAGUUGUGGUGUCUGGCAAGGUUAAGCAAACGCGAAGCCGUAGCGAAAGCGAGUCUGAAUAGGGCGCUUAGUCAGAUGCUGCAGACCCGAAACGAAGUGAUCUAUCCAUGAGCAAGUUGAAGCUAGUGUAAGAACUAGUGGAGGACUGAACCCAUAGGCGUUGAAAAGCCCCGGGAUGACUUGUGGAUAGGGGUGAAAGGCCAAUCAAACUUCGUGAUAGCUGGUUCUCUCCGAAAUAUAUUUAGGUAUAGCGUUGUGUCGUAAUAUAAGGGGGUAGAGCACUGAAUGGGCUAGGGCAUACACCAAUGUACCAAACCCUAUCAAACUCCGAAUACCUUAUAUGUAAUCACAGCAGUCAGGCGGCGAGUGAUAAAAUCCGUCGUCAAGAGGGAAACAACCCAGACUACCAGCUAAGGUCCCUAAAUCUUACUUAAGUGGAAAACGAUGUGAAGUUACUUAAACAACCAGGAGGUUGGCUUAGAAGCAGCCAUCCUUUAAAGAAAGCGUAAUAGCUCACUGGUCUAGUGAUUUUGCGCGGAAAAUAUAACGGGGCUAAAGUAAGUACCGAAGCUGUAGACUUGAUUUUAUCAAGUGGUAGGAGAGCGUUCUAUUUGCGCCGAAGGUAUACCGGUAAGGAGUGCUGGAGCGAAUAGAAGUGAGCAUGCAGGCAUGAGUAGCGAUAAUUAAUGUGAGAAUCAUUAACGCCGUAAACCCAAGGUUUCCUACGCGAUGCUCGUCAUCGUAGGGUUAGUCGGGUCCUAAGUCGAGUCCGAAAGGGGUAGACGAUGGCAAAUUGGUUAAUAUUCCAAUACCAACAUUAGUGUGCGAUGGAAGGACGCUUAGGGCUAAGGGGGCUAGCGGAUGGAAGUGCUAGUCUAAGGUCGUAGGAGGUUAUACAGGCAAAUCCGUAUAACAAUACUCCGAGAACUGAAAGGCUUUUUGAAGUCUUCGGAUGGAUAGAAGAACCCCUGAUGCCAUCGAGCCAAGAAAAGUUUCUAAGUUUAGCUAAUGUUGCCCGUACCGUAAACCGACACAGGUGGGUGGGAUGAGUAUUCUAAGGCGCGUGGAAGAACUCUCUUUAAGGAACUCUGCAAAAUAGCACCGUAUCUUCGGUAUAAGGUGUGGUUCGCUUCGUAUUAGGAUUUACUCCGAAAGCGAAGAAACUUACAACAAAGAGUCCCUCCCGACUGUUUACCAAAAACACAGCACUCUGCUAACUCGUAAGAGGAUGUAUAGGGUGUGACGCCUGCCCGGUGCUCGAAGGUUAAUUGAUGGGGUUAGCAUUAGCGAAGCUCUUGAUCGAAGCCCGAGUAAACGGCGGCCGUAACUAUAACGGUCCUAAGGUAGCGAAAUUCCUUGUCGGUUAAAUACCGACCUGCAUGAAUGGCGUAACGAGAUGGGAGCUGUCUCAAAGAGGGAUCCAGUGAAAUUGUAGUGGAGGUGAAAAUUCCUCCUACCCGCGGCAAGACGGAGAGACCCCGUGGACCUUUACUACAGCUUGACACUGCUAUUUGGAUAAGAAUGUGCAGGAUAGGUGGGAGGCUUUGAGUAUAUGACGCCAGUUGUAUAUGAGCCAUUGUUGAGAUACCACUCUUUCUUAUUUGGGUAGCUAACCAGCUUGAGUUAUCCUCAAGUGGGACAAUGUCUGGUGGGUAGUUUGACUGGGGCGGUCGCCUCCCAAAUAAUAACGGAGGCUUACAAAGGUUGGCUCAGAACGGUUGGAAAUCGUUCGUAGAGUAUAAAGGUAUAAGCCAGCUUAACUGCAAGACAUACAAGUCAAGCAGAGACGAAAGUCGGUCUUAGUGAUCCGGUGGUUCUGUGUGGAAGGGCCAUCGCUCAAAGGAUAAAAGGUACCCCGGGGAUAACAGGCUGAUCUCCCCCAAGAGCUCACAUCGACGGGGAGGUUUGGCACCUCGAUGUCGGCUCAUCGCAUCCUGGGGCUGGAGCAGGUCCCAAGGGUAUGGCUGUUCGCCAUUUAAAGCGGUACGCGAGCUGGGUUCAGAACGUCGUGAGACAGUUCGGUCCCUAUCUGCCGUGGGCGUAAGAAGAUUGAAGAGAUUUGACCCUAGUACGAGAGGACCGGGUUGAACAAACCACUGGUGUAGCUGUUGUUCUGCCAAGAGCAUCGCAGCGUAGCUAAGUUUGGAAAGGAUAAACGCUGAAAGCAUCUAAGCGUGAAGCCAACUCUAAGAUGAAUCUUCUCUAAGCUCUCUAGAAGACUACUAGUUUGAUAGGCUGGGUGUGUAAUGGAUGAAAGUCCUUUAGCUGACCAGUACUAAUAGAGCGUUUGGCUUAUCUUUAAUAAAGCAU
Molecule: ribosomal RNA, 2923 nt
Filed under: Campylobacter coli
Lineage: Bacteria; Pseudomonadati; Campylobacterota; Epsilonproteobacteria; Campylobacterales; Campylobacteraceae
Description: 23S ribosomal RNA
Rfam family: Bacterial large subunit ribosomal RNA
Source: RNAcentral